RNAcentral lists this ribosomal RNA (347 nucleotides) under uncultured bacterium. RNAcentral describes it as "partial 16S ribosomal RNA". It matches the Rfam family "Bacterial small subunit ribosomal RNA", at positions 338 to 682 of the family's 1533-position model. The record is from RNAcentral.
CCUACGGGUGGCAGCAGUGAGGAAUAUUGGUCAAUGGACGAGAGUCUGAACCAGCCAAGUAGCGUGAAGGAUGACUGCCCUAUGGGUUGUAAACUUCUUUUAUAAAGGAAUAAAACGAGGCACGUGUGCCUUUUUGCAUGUACUUUAUGAAUAAGGAUAGGCUAACUCCGUGCCAGCAGCCGCGGUAAUACGGAGGAUCCGAGCGUUAUCCGGAUUUGUUGGGUUUAAAGGGCGCGUAGAUGGGUUUUUAAGUCAGUUGUGAAAGUUUGCGGCUCAACCGUGAAAUUGCCAUUGAUACUGGCAGUCUUGCGUACAGUUGAGGUAGGCGGAAUUCGUGGUGUAGCUGU